This 69-nucleotide transfer RNA is filed under the name Psychodopygus squamiventris maripaensis. Its description in RNAcentral is "tRNA-Glu". Lineage: Eukaryota; Metazoa; Arthropoda; Insecta; Diptera; Psychodidae. The record is from RNAcentral.
AUUUAUAUAGUUUAAUAUAAAACUUUAUAUUUUCAUUAUAAAAAUAAACAACUCCAAGUUUUAUAAAUU